Molecule: non-coding RNA, 73 nt
Organism: Glycine soja
Lineage: Eukaryota; Viridiplantae; Streptophyta; Magnoliopsida; Fabales; Fabaceae
Source: Rfam
GGUAUCGUGGUGUAGUUGGUUAUCACGUCAGUCUAACACACUGAAGGUCUCUGGUUCGAAUCCGGCGACGCCA